RNAcentral lists this unclassified non-coding RNA (547 nucleotides) under Hevea brasiliensis (rubber tree). Lineage: Eukaryota; Viridiplantae; Streptophyta; Magnoliopsida; Malpighiales; Euphorbiaceae. The record is from RNAcentral.
CCUUUUCCCUUCACGCUCUUUUACUUCAUAGACUUCAAAGAGUUCUGCAGUCCAAUCUUCAUCAGCCUCCUCAUUGAAGUCACCUUCAAGAACCACAACAUUCAGUUUGGCAACUGAUUGAGGUCCAGUUUGCAUGACACAGCCUGAGGUAGCAUCUAGCAGGACAACAUGGAUAGCUGCUCCUUGUUCCCCCUCAACCUUCCCACCUGUGAAUAGGUGAGGUGGCAUCCUUGUUCUGAAAUGAAGCUGUAGAUUUCUUCCUUCUGGCCCUUGUAUUUUUGGUGGUGAUCUUGCUGCCAAGUUAGCAUGACCCAUUCUUGUCAGAGCACGCUCCACUUCUUCACUAACGAUUCUGCGAAAUAGAGGCUCCAAAGAUGAGCAAAGUCUUUGCAAACUAUCCACCUUCAAAGCUUCCACAAUAACACUUGCUAAAGCCGGCAUUUUUGCCUUCUUUGGAUCAGGCAAGUGGUCAGCUUCAUCUUCAACACACUGCUCAUAACCCCUUUUCUCUAUACUCCUGCCCCUUGAAUUUUCCAUUUAUAGAAAC